This 451-nucleotide ribosomal RNA is filed under the name uncultured bacterium. Its description in RNAcentral is "bacterial SSU rRNA". It matches the Rfam family "Bacterial small subunit ribosomal RNA", at positions 29 to 524 of the family's 1533-position model. The record is from RNAcentral.
AACGAACGCUGGCGGCAUGCCUAACACAUGCAAGUCGAACGAAGUCUUCGGACUUAGUGGCGCACGGGUGCGUAACGCGUGGGAAUCUGCCCUUGGGUGCGGAAUAACUUCUCGAAAGGGAUGCUAAUACCGCAUAAUGUCGUAAGACCAAAGAUUUAUCGCCCAAGGAUGAGCCCGCGUAAGAUUAGCUAGUUGGUGGGGUAAAAGCCUACCAAGGCGACGAUCUUUAGCUGGUCUGAGAGGAUGAUCAGCCACACUGGGACUGAGACACGGCCCAGACUCCUACGGGAGGCAGCAGUGGGGAAUAUUGGACAAUGGGCGAAAGCCUGAUCCAGCAAUGCCGCGUGAGUGAUGAAGGCCUUAGGGUUGUAAAGCUCUUUUACCCGGGAUGAUAAUGACAGUACCGGGAGAAUAAGCCCCCGGCUAACUCCGUGCCAGCAGCCGCGGUAAU